AAUCCAGGUCAGGCGUGAUUAUCCAAUGAGUUUUAGAAUAUCAAUAAGUCGAGCAAAGAAACUUACAAAGGAUUCCCUUAGUAAUGGCGAGCGAACCAAAAAUAGCGCAGCGUUAGAAUCUGGUGGCUCCAUUAUCUGAAUUAUAGUCUAGACAAGAGUCCUCACCGAUGGACUGGGACCAUGGCCCCUAGAAGGGGGUAAGAGAGAGGGUGAGAGCCCCAUUGUGCCUGGACCCUGUAGCACCAUGAGGUUCUAUCUACGAGUCAUGUUGUUUGGUAAUGCAACCCAAAUCAAGUGGUGAAUUCUGUCUAAGGCUAAAUAUGGGUGAGAGAUAGAUAGCAAAUAAGUAGAGCGAGGGAAAGAUGAAAUGGACUUUGACAGGAGAGUCAAAGAGUACUUGAAAUUGUUAGGAGGUAAGUGAAUAGGGGCCGGCGAUGCACCCUGGUCGAAUAUAGUAUAACGAUGAGCCGGUUCACUGAUCGACUCGGUGUAUUGAUCGGCAUGGAUUGGGGCUGGCAAAAGUCCAGGAUCUCGAUAAGCUCAUAGAAUGUCGUCUCCUUGAUUAUGGAAUGCAACACGCACCUCUAACAUGCUUUGACAUCUGCACCCUCCAAACGCUGGCAUGUGUGCUCCCUAUUUGAACCAUCUUGAAACAAGGACCAAGGAGUUUGACAUGUUUGCAAGUCAACGAAUGAGUAAACCCUUAAGGUAUAAGGAAGAUGAUUGGUGGGAUCCCCUUGAGGGAUUAACUACUGACCGACUUUGAACUUCUGAGAAGGUUCGAGUCUGAGCGUACUUGUUGGGACCCAAAAGAUGGUGAACUAUGCUUGAGUAGAACGAAUCCAAAGAAAACUCUGGUGGAGGCUCGCAGUAAUACUGACAUUUAAAUUAUUCGUCUGACUUUUGUAUAGGGGUGAAAGACUAAUCAAACUGUCUAGUAGUUGGUUCCCUAUGAAGUUUCCCUCAAGAUAUAUGAAGCUGCGUGCGAGUUCUAUCGGGCAAAGCCAGUGAUUAGAGGCCUCGAGGGUCCAACACCCUCGACCUAUUCUCAAACAAUAAAUAGGUAGGACGGUGCAACUGCUUUGUUUAACUGCGCCGCUGAAUCAAAAGCUCCAUGUGGGCCAUUUUUUGUAAGAAUAACUAAUGAUACGGGAUGAACCAAAAGUCGGGUUAUGGUGCUAAACUGCAUGCUAACCUAGACACAACAAAGGGUGUUGGUCGAAUAAGAUAGUAGAACAAUUGUCAUGGAGUUUAAAAUCCUCUAAGGAGUGUGUAAAAACUCACCUCCUAAAUCAACUAAGCCUUAAAAAGAAUGGUACUUAAGCAAGCGACCGACACCCCGCCGUCCCGAUGAGUAGAAGGGCGUGAAGGUCACUGCAAAAACUUAGGCGCGAGCCUAGGCAUAACGACCAUUGUUGUAGAUCUUGGUGGUAGUAGAAAAAUAUUAAAAUGAGAACUUUGAGGGCUGAAGAAGGGAAAGGUUUCAUGUGAACGAAGUUUGCACAUGGUUAGUUGAUCCUAAGAUUCGGGGGAGCUCUGACAGAUACAAUGUUAGAAAGUACGGACACAUUAGCGAGAGCCUCAGAAAAAGUUAUCUUUUCUAUUUAACAGCCUACCCAUCCUGAAAUUGGCUCAGCAGGAGGUAGGGUCUAGCUGUUGGAAGAGCACCACACAUCACGUGGUGUCUGGUGUGCUCCUGGAGGCCCUUGAAAAUUCAAAGGACCAAAUGUCGUCCACGUCCGGUUAUACUCAUAACCCCAUCAGGUCUCCAAGUUGAACAACCUCUAGUCAAUGGAAUAAAGUAGGCAAGGAAAGUUGGCAAAAUGGAUUCGUAACUUUAAGAAAGGGAUUUUAUUUGAGGGAAGAGAACAAGGAUGAUACACCUAAAUUACACCUCUCUCACGAGAGAAUAAGCGGUUGCUGUGAAAUAUAAAACACAACAAGGUUGCAUGUCGAAUCUCACAGGGAAUACCGUGUUCACUAAGUAUUGUGAUUCUUAUUAGAUUGUUGAUCAAAGGUUCUUGAGUAAAAGUGGUCUUGAUUUAUGAUUUAUAUUCUAAAUAAUUGUAACAGAGUUGUUCCUAUGAUUCUUUUCGAAAGUAAUAAUUCAAUGAUAUUAAACAAACUAGAGUUAUGGUUACCAAGAUGCUUAAACAAUUUGGGCUGUGAAUCACUUUAGAGUUCCAAUUAAUAACUUCAAUUGAAAGAGUAGUUGAAUUCUAUUGUUUACCCAUUAGUUUCUCAACCUCAAUGGAUAGUUUAUCCUUUAAUUCUCUCAAAAUUAAAAACUGAAUUAAUUAUUCAACUAUUUUCUCGUGUAGGUCAAUCUUGUUAAGGCAUUUGCCGUUAAUUUAAAGGUUAAAGCGUUUAGAUUCCAUGUAAACCCUUUAUUUUCCAAACAAACACUUUUCUAUUCGAACAAGUGGUGUUCUUGGACUCGCUUUUAAAGUUUCCAACCAAGAAAAUUUUUUAAAGUGAAGAAGGGUUCAUGCAAUGUCAACUACCCAUGAAACUCAAUUAUAAUCAGAACCCAAAUCAGUGUUUCACAUCAAGGAUCCUAUAAUCCUAGUUAUGAGAGCUUAGCUGCACAUCUUCAUUGAAGAAAAAUAAAGAAUCUUCGUAUGAUUCCAAAAUUAAUUCAGUAUUCUCUUACAAAAGUUACAAGAUUUAGUUCUUGAACCUUCAAUAGAAAUGGAAUGAUUACAUCCACAAGUUUUGUUUAAUUCACAGGCUGCUACAUUACAGAGGUUAAAAAAUGGAAAAUUCAGGUAACAAUAUCCAAGAUCCCAGAAAUAAAACCCUAA
RNAcentral lists this ribosomal RNA (2804 nucleotides) under Capsicum annuum. RNAcentral describes it as "eukaryotic LSU rRNA". The stretch from base 4 to 1986 matches the Rfam family "Eukaryotic large subunit ribosomal RNA". The record is from RNAcentral. Lineage: Eukaryota; Viridiplantae; Streptophyta; Magnoliopsida; Solanales; Solanaceae.